GUGAAUCAUCAAAUUUUUGAACGCAAAUUGCACUCUCUGCGGAGAGUAUGCCUGUUUGAGGUUCAGCCUAUAAAAAAUCGACAUCGUUGCUGUUUCGUGUUUGCGUUCGUCGGAAAUUGGGGCAUUUUAAAUCCUUUUGAUUUAAGCGACUUAAAAUAUUCUUUUGGUUCUAUGAACGUUUCUAAGA
Molecule: unclassified non-coding RNA, 187 nt
Filed under: Glomeraceae sp.
Lineage: Eukaryota; Fungi; Glomeromycota; Glomeromycetes; Glomerales; Glomeraceae
Description: partial contains 5.8S ribosomal RNA and internal transcribed spacer 2
Rfam family: 5.8S ribosomal RNA (bases 1-65)
Source: RNAcentral